RNAcentral lists this long non-coding RNA (989 nucleotides) under Homo sapiens (human). Its description in RNAcentral is "HSALNT0386223". The record is from RNAcentral. Lineage: Eukaryota; Metazoa; Chordata; Mammalia; Primates; Hominidae.
CUCUCUUCUGCUUUGCCGUGGUAAGACGUGCCUGCUUCCCCUUCGCCUUUUGCCAUGAUUGUAAGUUUCCUGAGGCCUCCUAGCCAUGCUUCCUGUUAAGCCUGCAGAACUGUGAGUCAACUGAAACUCUUUUCUUCAUAAAUUACCCAGUCUCAGGUGGUUCUUUACAGCAGUGUGAGAAUGGAUUAAUACACACGGGCAUCAGAUGUUUAGAACAUUAACGAUCCUCCUCUGUGUUCCUACAGCAGAGAUCCAUGUUGAGACUUGAAUACGACUCGUUCGUGGUGAUCUUGGACAGGAAAGGGCUGAAGCCCUUUCAGCAGCACCUGCCCUUUGAGUUUUUCCAGUGGUAGGGCUGAAGUUUAUUUCAGUCAGUCUCUUUGUCACUGUCUCUGUCUCUCUCCCCCUUCCAACCCAUGGGACGGACUAUGGUUAAAGUCGAGCUGGAGGUUUCUCAGUGUGAAGCUAUUUGGCCCAUUUAGAGAUUAAACCUAGAUUCUUAGGCUUCCUAGUGCCUUUCUUUAGCCAACUGGACUUGGCAGUUUGAAAGUAAAUGCUAAUCGUUAAUCAUUUGAAAUAUCUUUCUCCAGUGGGAUCACGAAGGGGAAGGUGGCUCGCUGACUGGUGCAGUUCUCACAACGUGAGCUUUGGUCCUCAGUUUAGAAGCAAAUCAAGUCUGGGCAUUAUCGGGCCGAUACAUAUCCCCUCAGGUUCUAGGGUAUGGCUUGGUGGGCAACAUGCCCCAUGACCUAGUCUGCUUCACAAUAACCUGCAUUUAUCAAGAGUUAACAGUACCUGCAGAUUGCAAAGCCACUGAUGCAAAAGUGUGAACCGCAAGCCUACUGUUAGGUGGCAACCAAAAAGCUACCAUGGUGACUCGUGAGGAAAAACUUGUCUUCCUCUGAAAAUAUGUGUUCUAUGGGUUAGCCAGCUGGAAUUUUAGAGCAACUUGAAAGGUGAUUCAGCUGAUGGCCUUUGUUAGCUCAAAG